Molecule: ribosomal RNA, 537 nt
Filed under: uncultured bacterium
Lineage: Bacteria
Description: bacterial SSU rRNA
Rfam family: Archaeal small subunit ribosomal RNA
Source: RNAcentral
AGAGAAUAGAUACCCAGGUAGUCCCAGCUGUAAACGAUGCAGACUCGGUGAUGAGUUGGCUUAUUGCUAAACUCAGUGCCGCAGGGAAGCCGUUAAGUUUGCCGCCUGGGGAGUACGGUCGCAAGACUGAAACUUAAAGGAAUUGGCGGGGAGCACCACAAGGGGUGAAAGCCUGCGGUUCAAUUGGAGUCAACGCCGGAAAUCUUACCGGGGGCGGACAGCAGAGUGAAGGUCAAGCUGAAGACUUUACCAGACAAGCUGAGAGGAGGUGCAUGGCCGUCGCCAGCUCGUGCCGUGAGGUGUCCUGUUAAGUCAGGUAACGAGCGAGAUCCCUGCCUCUAGUUGCUACCAUUAUUCUCAGGAGUAGUGGAGCUAAUUAGAGGGACCGCCGUCGCUGAGACGGAGGAAGGUGGGGGCUACGGCAGGUCAGUAUGCCCCGAAACCCUCGGGCCACACGCGGGCUGCAAUGGUAAGGACGAUGAGUUUCGAUUCCGAAAGGAGGAGGCAAUCUCUAAACCUUACCACAGUUAUGAUUGA